This 65-nucleotide transfer RNA is filed under the name Scrobicularia plana. RNAcentral describes it as "tRNA-Ala". Lineage: Eukaryota; Metazoa; Mollusca; Bivalvia; Cardiida; Scrobiculariidae. The record is from RNAcentral.
AGCACUAUACUUUAAUUUAAAAGACCAUGUUUGCAACUUGAAAAUAGGCUUCGGCUUUGGUGCUA